AUCGGUAGCUGGCUCUCUGCUGCUCUAACAUGGUCGCCCAUUGAAGCUAAGCAGGGCUGAGCUCAGUCAGUGUCUGGAUGGGAGAGCACAUGGGAAAGCUAGGUUGCUGCCGGAA
Molecule: ribosomal RNA, 115 nt
Filed under: Danio rerio (zebrafish)
Lineage: Eukaryota; Metazoa; Chordata; Actinopteri; Cypriniformes; Danionidae
Source: RNAcentral